RNAcentral lists this ribosomal RNA (465 nucleotides) under uncultured bacterium. RNAcentral describes it as "partial 16S ribosomal RNA". It matches the Rfam family "Bacterial small subunit ribosomal RNA", at positions 28 to 507 of the family's 1533-position model. The record is from RNAcentral.
GACGAACGCUGGCGGCGUGCUUAACACAUGCAAGUCGAACGGAAAGGCCCCUUUGUGGGUACUCGAGUGGCGAACGGGUGAGUAACACGUGAGUAACCUGCCCUUGACUUCGGGAUAACUUCAGGAAACUGGGGCUAAUACCAGAUAGGAAUCCUUGCUGCAUGGUGGGGGUUGGAAAGUUUCGGCGGUUUUGGAUGUACUCGCGGCUUAUCUGCUUGUUGGUGGGGUUGUGGCUUACCAAGGCUUUGACGGGUAGCCGGCCUGAGAGGGCGACCGGCCACAUUGGGACUGAGAUACGGCCCAGACUCCUACGGGAGGCAGCAGUGGGGAAUAUUGCACAAUGGGCGGAAGCCUGAUGCAGCAACGCCGCGUGCGGGAUGACGGCCUUCGGGUUGUAAACCGAUUUCAGCAGGGGCGAAGCUUGUGGUGACGGUACCUGCAGAAGAAGCACCGGCUAACUACGUG